CCCAGGCACUUUGAAUCUGUCCUUAGCACAUUGGCUUCUCAUUUCCAUGGUAUUGGUGCUUUCCACAGCUCAAGAAUAACCUUUAUAUUCAAAGCAGGAAGGGGGGAGAAGAGUCACAAACACCUUUUUAAUUUGAAAACAAAGCCUUCCCCAGAAACACUUUUUUUCUACGCUUAACAGCCUUUUUUUCUUUAUGUCUUAUUGUUCAGACUGUGUUAAAUGGCCACCCCUGGCUCCAAUGGAAGUAGAGAAAAAUGAAGAUUUAACAGGGACAUUGUUCUAGCAAGGCUCAAGCUCAAAAUGAUGAUGAGACCAGCAAGAGAAUUGAUUUCACCAGCCACUUCCAGAGAGGGUGUUGAAGCUCUGCUUAUCAAGAUAGUAAGUGGAAAUCUGGGCUUGGAACUGCAACCAAGGAGAAUUCUUUGUUGUUGAAAUCAUCAAAUGUCCAGGCGGGACACCUGUGUGACUGAGUCUGUUGAGCGCCUGACUCUUGAUGAUCUCAGGGUCCUGGGAUUGAGUCACUCAUAGGGCUACAUGCUCAGUGGGGAAUCUGCUUAAGAAUUCCUCUUGCUCCUUCCCCCUCUACCCCUCCCUUGGCUGUCUCUGUCUUUCAAAAAUAAAAUAAAUAAUUUUUUUAAAAAUAAAUAAUUU
This 651-nucleotide long non-coding RNA is filed under the name Vulpes vulpes (red fox). RNAcentral describes it as "lncRNA (ENSVVUG00000017337.1)". Lineage: Eukaryota; Metazoa; Chordata; Mammalia; Carnivora; Canidae. The record is from RNAcentral.